Molecule: ribosomal RNA, 467 nt
Filed under: uncultured bacterium
Lineage: Bacteria
Description: bacterial SSU rRNA
Rfam family: Bacterial small subunit ribosomal RNA
Source: RNAcentral
GACCAGACUCCUACGGGAGGCAGCAGUGAGGAAUAUUGGUCAAUGGCCGAGAGGCUGAACCAGCCAAGUCGCGUGAGGGAAGACGGCCCUACGGGUUGUAAACCUCUUUUGUCGGGGAGCAAAGCGAGUCACGUGUGACUCAUUGAGAGUACCCGAAGAAAAAGCAUCGGCUAACUCCGUGCCAGCAGCCACGGUAAUACGGAGGAUGCGAGCGUUAUCCGGAUUUAUUGGGUUUAAAGGGUGCGCAGGCGGAGGUGCAAGUCAGCGGUCAAAUUGCGGGGCUCAACCCCGUACUGCCGUUGAAACUGCAUCCCUUGAGUGCGCGAGAAGUAUGCGGAAUGCGUGGUGUAGCGGUGAAAUGCAUAGAUAUAUGGAAGAACACCAGUGGCGAAGGCGGCUCUCUGGUCUGCAACUGACGCUGAGGCUCGAAAGCAUGGGUAGCGAACAGGAUUAGAUACCCCCGUACC